Molecule: ribosomal RNA, 489 nt
Filed under: Cryptosporidium scrofarum
Lineage: Eukaryota; Apicomplexa; Conoidasida; Eucoccidiorida; Cryptosporidiidae
Description: SSU rRNA
Rfam family: Eukaryotic small subunit ribosomal RNA
Source: RNAcentral
GAGGGCAAGUCUGGUGCCAGCAGCCGCGGUAAUUCCAGCUCCAAUAGCGUAUAUUAAAGUUGUUGCAGUUAAAAAGCUCGUAGUUGAUUUUCUGUUAAUUUUUAUGUAUAAUAUUGCGAUAUUUACAUAAUAUUAACAUAAUUCACAUUACUUUACAGUAUGUGGAAUUUUACUUUGAGAAAAUUAGAGUGCUUAAAGCAGGCUAUUGCCUUGAAUACUCCAGCAUGGAAUAAUAUUAAGGAUUUUUAUUCUUCUUAUUGGUUCUAGAAUAAAAAUAAUGAUUAAUAGGAACAGUUGGGGGCAUUUGUAUUUAACAGUUAGAGGUGAAAUUCUUAGAUUUGUUAAAGACAAACUACUGCGAAAGCAUUUGCCAAGGAUGUUUUCAUUAAUCAAGAACGAAAGUUAGGGGAUCGAAGACGAUCAGAUACCGUCGUAGUCUUAACCAUAAACUAUGCCAACUAGAGAUUGGAGGUUGUUCCUUACUCCUUC